UACGUAGGGGGCAAGCGUUGUCCGGAUUUAUUGGGCGUAAAGAGCGUGUAGGCGGCCUUACAGGUCAGCUGUGAAAACUCGAGGCUCAACCUCGAGACGUCGGUUGAAACCGUAAGGCUAGAGUCCGGAAGAGGAGAGUGGAAUUCCCGGUGUAGCGGUGAAAUGCGCAGAUAUCAGGAAGAACACCUAUGGCGAAGGCAGCUCUCUGGGACGGUACUGACGCUGAGACGCGAAAGCGUGGGGAGCGAACAGG
Molecule: ribosomal RNA, 253 nt
Filed under: uncultured bacterium
Lineage: Bacteria
Description: partial 16S ribosomal RNA
Rfam family: Bacterial small subunit ribosomal RNA
Source: RNAcentral